CUGUAUCUCGGCUAGAGCCUUGGGCAGUGUGAGCUGGCAGGGCAGAUCGCUGAAGGCGGCUAGAGAUAGAAAACCACCCAGCUCUGCAUCCUGAGACAAAGAAGCCUUUCCCUGGGCUCAUAUGAUAGAGGUACGUUGCCUCUGGGCCUCAGUUUUGCCAUCUGUAAAAUAGGGUGAAGGUCAGACUAGAUUGGGCAUAUUCAGUGUGGGAUCCCCCUAAUGACGGCAUCAGCAUCACCUGGGAAACUGCAAAUUCUCCUUUAUGACAGUGGCUCUCAAACUUUAAUGUGCAUUGAAACCAUCUGGAGGAGAGGAGCGUUUCCCACUUGAGAACCACACAGCGGGAUCAGGGAGGGGCGAACUAUAGUCCACCGGCCAAAUCUGGCCAUGGCCUGCUUUUUAUGGCCCAUGAGCUAAGAAUAGUUUUUUCCAUUUUUCAGUAGUUGGGGAAAAAAAUCAAAGAAUAUUUUGUGACAUAUACAAAUUAUAUGAAAUUCAAAUCUCAGUGUCCAUAAAUAAGGUUUCGUUGGCACACAGUCACUCUCAGUCAUUUGCAUAUCGUCUACGGCUGCUUUUUCCGCUAUGAAGACAGAGUGGAGGCGCUUGCUCUCCUGGUUACAUGCUGCUGCUCACGCCCUACACCUCGCAGGGAUGUGGUUAAACUCGGCUUUGCCUCUUGGCCUGCAGAGCCUAAAAUAUUUACUAUCUGGCCCUUCAUACCAGACAUUUGCCGACCCUCAUCUACAGAGAGAAGGGAAAGGAAGAGAACGGGAGGGGAGGGGAGGGGAAAGGAGGGGGAAGGGGAGAGAAGGGGUUUGUGCAAGAGCUGGGGUCCCUUCUGGGGAAAAAAUGAGCUGUCAGGGGCUUUUGGAAUCUGAGAGAGUCCUGCUCUGCGCUGGGCCAACAUUUGGAAUCUUUUGCACAGUUGCUUUGAGGGUGAUCUGGAAGGCCCCUCUGACCAAUAAAGACCUUCCCUCUUGCCUGUAUGAAAACCUAACAUUCCACUUCUAGAGCAGGGGCUCUUACCUGGGAAGCCCCCCAUCCAGAGGCCAGGCUUCGGGGGUUCUAGGUAAGCUUUUAAGCAUGCAGGUGUUUUCUGGGGAGAGUUUGGUGGCGCCAGUGACCUUCCCUACCCCUCCCAAAUCCCAAGCACCCUUUUUGUUCCUUUGGGGCACACAUUUUUCUCUCCCCACCCCUCCUUUCAAAAUGUGAAAGUCCCCGGAAGGGGGACACUGUGCACCUACAUCUUCCUACCUAGGAAAGGGGUGAGGUGAUCUGAUGGGACUAGGCAGGCUUUAGGAACGUCCAAGGAGUCUGAGGAGAGGUGGAGGGCGGCGGGGGCAGGGGGGCAUUUAGAGAGAGGAAAUGGGAAAGAGGGCAUCUUUCCCAGAGGGCUGCAGGACCUCCGAGCCCACACUAUCUGUACUCAUCCACUUCUCCGCAUCAGCAAGAGGCAUCCAAGACUCGCAGCCCACACGGCUACCCUCCCACCCUCACUGGUGGGCACUUCCACUCCCCAGGCCCCACGAGGCCUCCCGCCUGCAGCGUUAGCCAAGCAAGUCUCAACUCUGGCCCUGGGAUUCCAGGUAUUUUCCCAGCCAGCCGCACCUCAUCUAAUUGCUUUCCAGUCAGCUAAUCCCUGGCCCACGCCCUCCACUCCAGCCAGGCAAGCCACCUCUGUGUGGCCAGCAGGAGCUUCUGAGACUUCCCAUGGCAUGCAUCCAAGCCUGGGGCAGCCUCUCGCCUCCCCUUGCCCAAACCACAUCCUCUUUGCCCUUCCCCACACCUCAAACUCUCCUCUGACUAACAUUUCCAAAAAAAGUAGAGCUUGGUCCAGUCCAGACCAAAAGCGGCAGACUAAUUCAUUCCCUACCACCUCCGCCCCCCAGACUCAGCACUUCCUGACUAUCAGGAAAGAACAAUCAGCAAAAAGUGGAGCUGUACCUACUGUUCAAUUUCUAGAGCUAAUUGUUUUCAGCAGGGUUUUGGCCUUAAUUAAAGGAUAAUUAAUUACUGAAUGUGUGUUUGCAUUUCCACAAGUGUGUUUGCGUUUCCUAAGUCUGGCUUUUAACCCUGGGAAACCAGAUUCAGCAAAUACUUUCAUGUUUCAAUACUUCUGAGUAAGGGAGAAGGUCUUAAUUACAGAAAUGGUAGUCCUGUGUAAUCAAGGGGCAAUGCAAGAAUGAGCUAAUUGUGCCUUCCACACACUCGGCCACGAUUUCUGUCGAGCUGCUGUGAGGAGAGGGUGGCAGCUGCCCAGCCCUGCCCAGCACUGUGUCCCUAUCCGUGGAUUCUCUUAUCCCUGUCACGCAACUGGCCACCCCUGCCACAGCCCUUCUCUUCCCUUUCUAUGUGUUUCUUCUUUC
RNAcentral lists this long non-coding RNA (2366 nucleotides) under Homo sapiens (human). Its description in RNAcentral is "non-protein coding lnc-SMAD7-2:3". The record is from RNAcentral. Lineage: Eukaryota; Metazoa; Chordata; Mammalia; Primates; Hominidae.